UACGAGGGGGGCAAGCGUUGUUCGGAAUUAUUGGGCGUAAAGGGUGCGUAGGCGGUCUGACAAGUCUGAUGUGAAAUCUAUGGGCUCAACCCAUAGUCUGCAUCGGAAACUGUCGGGCUUGAGUAUGGGAGAGGUGAGUGGAAUUUCCGGUGUGGCGGUGAAAUGCGUAGAUAUCGGAAGGAACACCUGUGGCGAAAGCGGCUCACUGGACCAUUACUGACGCUGAGGCACGAAAGCUAGGGGAGCAAACAGG
This 253-nucleotide ribosomal RNA is filed under the name uncultured bacterium. Its description in RNAcentral is "partial 16S ribosomal RNA". It matches the Rfam family "Bacterial small subunit ribosomal RNA", at positions 524 to 776 of the family's 1533-position model. The record is from RNAcentral.